Molecule: non-coding RNA, 1548 nt
Organism: Aegilops tauschii subsp. strangulata
Lineage: Eukaryota; Viridiplantae; Streptophyta; Magnoliopsida; Poales; Poaceae
Source: RefSeq, a predicted model, not a curated record
UGCUCAUUCAUUUGUGGUACUGUUCAUCUUCCAGGCUGCUACAUAUAGCGGAUGAGGAGCCCAUUCUGCCAACAACUCCUUUGCUCGCAGCAUGAGAGCUCCAUCCGGCAUGGAUAGCGAAGAAGACACCUCUUUAGACCAUCAGCACAUGGCUGUUGAUCUCACUCCUGCCGGCAUGGAUACGCUCUCUAACAGGUAUUUACCCCGUUCAGUGGCCAUCAGAAAGAUGCCGUCUCAUGUUUGAUUUACAUACUUAUCUUUUUCCCCUGAAAAAAUUACUCAAGCACCUGCGACCCCCUCCUUUCAGAUCAAACAAAGGCAUCACCGAGCUAUCAGAUUGUUCUAAUCCUGGCUGUGGUGUUGUUGAUUCAAUCACAGCGAAUCCAGAGUUCUCAGAACUGCAUUCUGGAAGAUCGGCACCUAAGCGGAAAAGUAAACGGGAAGCGUUUGAAGGAAUGGACUACAGAAUUGCCCCUGCAGUAAAAAGUCCGUUCCAGAAGUGUGUGGAGCGCACUGCUUUUAGGGGCGAUGCAGAUGUGUUCGUUCCAAGUGUUGGAACAAUCUUUGAUUCAAAGGAUGAAGCCUACGAUUUCUACAACAUGUUCUCUUGGGAGUGUGGUUUUGGUAUUCGCUAUGGAAAGAGUAGCACUAAUAACAAAAAUUACAGAACAAUGCAGGACAUCGUUUGCCAGUGUGCGGUAUGCAUCAUUUUAAUCUUAAUUGUUUGUUUUUGUCUCGGUCGGAUUAUUGGUUCAUACUUUUUUUGUCUGCCUUUCACUCUGUGUCUUUACCAUUAUUACAGGGCAAAGAAGAAAGGCCCAACACAACAACAUGCCGCACUGGUUGUGAAGCUCGUAUAAGACUACAUCGAACUGACGACCAUGGAUGGUAUGUGACCGUUUUCAUUAACAAGCACAAUCACCCACUAUCUGUGAAGUGUGGCGAGAAAAAACAGUGGAAAUCACAUAGCGUUAUAAGUCCUUUAGCAAAGGAUUUUAUUCGUAACCUCAGGGAGAACAACAUCAGGUUUGACCAGAUAUACAACAUAUUAGGGUCAGGUCUUGGCUCUUCUCUAGGCGUGCCUUUUAGGAAGCAGACAUUGAGAAUUCUGUGUGCAACCAUAGCUCAUGAUUCCAUCGCUGAUGAUAUGGCCAAAACCACUAGUAUACUUUAGGAUAUGAGUGCCACAGAUCCGGACUUCAAAGUUUGUGUGCAAGUAGACGGUGAAAGCAGGGUGAAAACAGUAAUAUGGUGUAAUGGUAAAAAUCGGCUGGAUUAUGCACAUUUCGGUGAUGUGGUUACUUUCGACACCACUUACAGGACCAACCUGUAUAACAUGCCAUUUGGGCUUUUUGUUGGUGUGAAUAACCAUUUCCAGUCUAUUAUUUUUGGCGGCGUCCUCAUGGUUGAUGAAAAGACUCCCACAUUUGAAUGGGCAUUCAGAAACUUUAUUGACUUGAUGGACGGGAAACAUCCUACUACUAUAUUGACAGAUCAAUGCAAAGCUAUGCAAAAUGCUUUACGAAGUACAAUGCCCCACACCCGUCA